Non-coding RNA from Podarcis lilfordi (Lilford's wall lizard), 7300 nucleotides. The record is from the annotation of a GenBank genome assembly. Lineage: Eukaryota; Metazoa; Chordata; Lepidosauria; Squamata; Lacertidae.
CCCCUUUAAAUACUGGUUUGUUUAUUUUCUCUGAUUGUUUCCUGGUUUGCAGUGCCACCUAGACAUUUUUAUAAAUCUGCAGUUCAGCUGAACAUGUAGGUUCACACCCCCAACCCCCAAUGCCUCACUCACUGAUAGUUACUUCACACAUGAAAACAGAAGGAACCCAAGAUUUACCAUUAUGGUGUCAUGAUGAAUCUACCCAUAUAAUUCAGGUGUUGCAAGGACAUGCUUGUUGUAUUCAUGCUUAUCCUCAUGCAAUGGAUGACAUGACCUUGGUCUGGAUUCAGAUUUAGUUAUAUUUACCGCUUUCUCAAUAGUAACCUGUGCAAGCGCAGAGGAGAUGAAAUAUAUAUAUAGAGAGAGAGGGAUUAAGUUUCAUCAGGUACCAUAAUUCAGCAUUAGGAAGUGCCUCUUUGAAGCAGUUGGUCCAAUUUUGUGGAGUUUGGUUGUUGUUGUUUUUACACAUACUGAGCAUAAUCAGUCUUUCUCAUUGACUUCAGUCUCAGAGACAGAUUUGUAUGCUCCAUGAAAGCUAACAGGAAAAUCACUGUAGCAAAGGAAAUCUCUGGCGUAGGCUGAUUCUGUAGAAAUAAGUCCCAUUGACACCAGUGGAGCUUUCUGCCAUGGAAUGAACUUACAAUAUGGAAGCUAAGAGCAACAACUUUAGUGAAUACACACUGCUUUUAAAACAAACUGGUGCUGUAACUUCAAGGCAAUACUCUGAGAGCACUAAUGGGAAAAGAAACACACUGUGAUCAUCAUCAAAAACUUGCCUCUGAAACUGCUAUGUUAGUGGAGAAAGCAUGCACACAGCAAAACCAUUUCUCCCUCUGCUGUUAUGUAUGAGCUUCGGUGGAAGUUCAAGGAGGAUGCUGCUUGAGCUGUGAUGAAUUGUGAGGCUUCUGCCAAUGUGAGUAAUUGAUGCUUAAGAUUCAACAAGUCAAAUGCUUGGGAGCAAUCUGUUUCAGCCUGCUUUUCAUCCAUUUAUUAUCUGAAAGUUGUUCCUCAAGGUCCAGCAAGUAAAAGCGAUGCUUCCCCUCCCCACUUCAAAGAAUGGGCCUUCAGUGACAAAGCAACCAUCAGUGGUGCAGUGUACAAAUGUUGAACUGCAAGACAGACUCCAGGAUCAUCUUUGCUUUUCUGCGAUGUUUUUGUACAUCAGAAAAUGUUUGAUGGAGAGAGAAUGCCUGAUAUUUAUCAGAAGGUAUCAGCAAAUAUUUCAAAGAUGUGUCACACAGGUUUGUAACAUAGCUCCUUUCUGAACUUGCUAGAAAGAAUGCUCAGCUCUGCCCACAGAGGUGAAAAAAGGCACACUCUGGUUCCCUCUGUAAGUGACAGGACUGAGGACAGUGUAUUGUUUUCGUGUAGUUUGAUGGCUUUGUUGUUGUUUUCUUGUAGUUUUUGAAGGUAAUUCAUCCAAUAUGCUGGUUAGGAAUCUUCAAAAGGAAUAAUAUGAAAUAUAUGCUUAGCUCAUGAGCUGAAUGAGUAGCUUACAAUAUUAAUGAAAAAGACCUGUGUAAUAGGGUCAGCUGUCCAAAAACAAGGUGUCACUAGACCAUUUCAUUUCAUUUUGUUUCAUUUACAGUGGUGCCUCAGUUUAUGAACUUAAUCCAUUCUGGAAGUCCGUUCUUAAACCAAAACGGUUCUUAAACCGAGGCGCGCUUUCCCUAAUGAGGCCCCCUGCCGCUGGUGCCCUUCCACCAUUCGGAUUCCGUUCUUAGACCAAGGUAAAGUUUGCAAACCGGGACACUACUUCCGGUUUUGUGGAAUUCGUAAACCGAGUAGUUCAUAAACAGGGCUGUUCUUAAACCGAGGUACCACUGUAUUUAGUUUAUAUCCCUUCCUCCUAAAGGAGCCCAGGGAAGCAACUACAUCAGUGCAUUCUUUUUUGGGGGGGAGGGGGAAUUAAGACAUUUCAGAAUCAUGUAUCACAGCCCCUAACUUCAAAAUGUUUUAAUGAUGUUAUAGGGUAACAUUCUCUCCCAGGAACAAGAUUUUAUGAACUUUUCUUGGCAGACAAGCCAUCCUUUGUGCUCAUUUAUUUGAGGUAGUUGAGUGGGUAUGAAAUUUUAUAUUGCAGGACUUCAGGCAAACUUUUAAAAUGUCUAGUAGGUAAGAAUAUGAAACUCCAGUUAUCAAAAGAAGGUAAUUAAAUUUCUAGUGAUGGUUCGGUGAACUCUGUGUGCUUUGUCACAUCUGUGAAGGCUCCUCACUCCCUGGGUUAAAAAGUGGUUGCUAUGGUGUAACUAGCAGUUAUGACAUCAUAAAGCAAGCUGAUGUUAGCCUUUGAGUGGGUGGAUUAGAUAAUGAUUUGACUUGGUCUACCAGCUCAUACCAGGGACAAGCAGCUAUUUAAAUGCAGGAGUUUCACAGUGAAACCCAGUAAUUUGCCCAUUGCACCUUGCUGGUCCAUAAAAUUUGUAUGCCAGCAAAGAAUUGUCAACAUUUAUAUCCAUUCAGUCAGACUUCAGCCUUAUUCCUAACACCUGGGUGAGUAAUGACCUAAUAAAUCUUCAGCUAUACUUUAUUCAUUAAUGAUCAAUAACUGUCAUCCCUCCCUGUGUUUUAAAGACAAAAGUCUAGUGUUACUUCUAUAAACCUUUUGGCCUUUGGUGAAUAUCCAUCAGCAAUGUUUAAAAGUUAUAUAGCACUUUUUGAGUGUUCAGAAGCUUUUCACAUGCAUUUGGCUCAAUAACAGCAGUAUCAUAGUCUUAUUGCAGAUCUGAAGUUGAGAGAUGGUGGCUUGCCCAUAGCCACCUGAUGAUUUUGUGCCUGAGGCAAGUCAGGAUUCUGAACUGGAGGCUGUCGAAUUCACACUUCAGACACGCUGGAAUCUCAACUACAUAAUGCAUGACUGGUGGUCAUGCAACCUUUGUUUAAAAGCCUACAAGGAAGGAGAUUCCACUACCUUUCAUGGGAAUUUGUUCCACUGCCAGAAAGUUCUUCCUGAGGUUUAGUCAGAAUCUUCUUUCUUGUAACUUGAAGCCAUUGGUUCAGGUCCUAGCCUCUGGAGCAGGAGAAAACAAGCUUGCUGACAACCCUUUAAAUAUUUGAAGAUGGCUGUUGUAUCUCCUCUCAGUCUCCUCCUUACCAGGCUAAAUAUACUCAAUCCCCUCAACUGUUCCCCAUAAGGCUUGGUUUCCACACCCUUUAUCAUCUUGGCUGCCCUCCUCUGCACAUGCUCCACCUUGUCAACAUCCUUCUUAAAGUGUGGCACCCAGUACUCCAGGUGUGGUCUGUCCAAGGUUGAAUAGAGCAGGAUUAUUAAAUGCCUGGAGAACAAUAAAUUCCUCUUCACUGGGCAUGGAAGACUGGACACUGAAAGAAGCAACUCCCAGCUGAUCUGAGAGCAAGUUCAUAGAUGGUGUCUUUGCCGGCCUCCUUCUCCUAACGCUCACACAAGGCAGUCGAUGUCCCAUUGCAUUAAUAAGCACACCAUAGCAAAUAUGACUUCCAAGGGGUAGAAUACUAUGGCUGUGCCCUGAUUGGCUGAUUCAAAUACCAAGGUUCCUGUUUGGAGCAGUGGCAGUUGGCUGAAGGGAGUCGGUUGGUGAGGUGUGGCAAGAGGGAAAGUGGAACACCAAUGGUGUGCUGGUCCCGAGGGUUAACCAUGCGGCAAGGUCCGAGUCCAGUCCAAGGUUGAGGGUGCGAUAUGGAGGCUGUCCAUCAAAGCUGAAGCUGGGUCUAAGGCAGGGAGUCGGGUGAGGUCAGAAACUCUGGCAGAAGAGCAGGACUCCCACAACCUGGGACUGGGCUGGCUGGCUUUUAUCUGCCCCGAAGCAUAGGGCGGCCCCAGUCCACAGGUGACUCGCCUCUCCUGGCCUGGAGACGAGCACUCCUACUGCGAUAACUUAGUUCCCUCCCCCUCUCUGUCCUGAGCCUCUGCAGCUCAGGAGAGGCUGGAGGGUUACCGGACCCAGAGGCAACCUCAGCUUUCCCUGACGGGGCUGAGAGUGGAGCACCUGCAGGCAAUGGGUCCUCCUUCACCUCAGGAGCCAGAGCAGACUCAGCUGGUGCCUGCACCUGAGGAUCCAGCACAGGUGAGGACCCUUCAGGUUCAAGCCCCAGCCCUGGCUCAGCUGGUUCUGGAGGCGGGGACUCCUGUACAGGCUGGGAUUCCUCAGGUUCAGCCUCCAAGUCCGAAUCCCAGGCCAUCACAAAUGGACUAUCUGUGAGGAAACUAUAACAGUUUAACUGCAUUGGUCAGUAGCAGUCUCUUUUUCCUAUCUUCUUCACCCUGUGGACAUGGGCUUCAAAUCUUCAACAGCAAAGGCCACAACCCAGAAAGCUACAUCAGGCAGACACAGCCCACUGAUGAAGCAAAGUGAAGCGCCUCAAGCAGCAGAAGCCCAAGAGGAGGCAUCCAUCACCCACCCCAUUGCCUCUGCCAGCAGCGGAGAAGCACCAUCACCAGCCGGGGCGGAGGAAGGGGGUGUGGUGGGGAUGGAUCGCCCCGGGUGUCUUCGCUGAGGGGGUGACAUUUGGCACGCCGCCCGCCCGCGACACCCAAGCCUACCCCAAGCCAUCAGGGGAAGGGGGAGCUGUGCUGUUUUGCCGGCAGCAUCCCCACCUUCCCCCUUCAUUUUGACAGCUUGGGGGAGGCUUGGGAGUCGCAGAUGGGCGGCACACCAAAUGUCCGCCAUUGGCAGCUCGCUCCGCCCCUGUGGGCAGCUAACUCCGCCCCUGGCUACAGGGCACACGUGCACCUGAGCAGCUAUCCCACGCCUGGGAGCCCCUUCAGGAGCACCCACUGCCCCCCUUGGGAGCGUGCCCACCCUGGGCAGUGCAGGCAUAUGCUUCACCGCUGUCACCAGCAGUAGUGGAUUACAGCAAGCUCUUACCAAAAUCUUGCAAGAUUUCAACAGAAGUGGGAACCACUGCCAGUGCAAAGCAGGUAGGAGGGGUACAAAGAAGUAGCAGCAAAGGGGGGGGCGGGGGGGUCACAUUCCCGUUUUGCCUUAAGAGGUACAAUGAGACAUGCUGUCCCUUACUUCAGGUGUGCUUAUAGGCCCUGCAUGUGUCAAAUGGGACCCCCCCACCUCUUUGAACAGGGUGGCUUCUAGGCUUUUGAAAGAGUCUCAGAAAGUGGUUUUCUGUGCCUUUUCCCACAGAGCAUCCAUUCAAAUGGGCAGUUUACCCUGUGAAAGCUGAGGUGGUACAGUCAGUGCCACAAGGGGGCUCUACCACACUGAAUUGGCUCGUGACCCGGAGGUGAGCUCAAGAAGACGUCAUACCCAUAUACCAUACCUUUAGAGCUCUCUUAGGCCAUGGCUUCCCUCAAAGAAUCCUGGGAGAUGUAGUUUGUUAAGGAUGCUGAGAGUUAUGGGACUUCCGGGUUGGCGUCUCUGGCAAUGGCGGAUUUCCUCCGAUCGGGAGGAAUCCGCUCCAUGGAAAAAAGGGUCUGAACCGCCACGGCGAGGCGGAGACCCAUUAAAAACCACAGGUGGGAGAAGCCUGUGGACGUGGGAUUCGGCUGGCACCUUUGCGCCCCCCUACUCGCGGGGAGACCCGGUUUCGGGGAUCUGGAGCGACAUGGGGUGAGCGGCGCGGUGCCUUGAAUCGACUGCUUCUUUCACGGAGUGAAGCCGCAUGGCUGUUGCCGGAGAGCGCUGACUUUUUCCUGUGGACAAUUGGACUCUAAACAACGACCCGUGAGUAGAACGGAAAAUUGGAUUAAGAAAUUUCUUCUAAUUUGGCACUGAAGCGGGAAGGUCUAAACAGGAAGUCAGCCUUCCGCUUUUUGUAGAUAGAUUAAAGCAAAGACACGGCAAGCUAGAGUUAAGAAAAUCGUCUGUAAAGGAUCAAUUCUCAUCAUAUAAAAUUACUGAACCCCCCUUGGAAGCAGGAGAAGAGGGGGGAUUUUUUUUUUUCCUGGACUGUUUAAACCUGCAGAAGAGAGUGUAAAGAAAAGUAAUUUUCCACCGUCUUGAACCUGGGAGUGGGGUGUCAGGACAGACGUCCUUGGGAAGUUCAUUGACUAUAGACAAACGUUUUUGACAGACAGUUAAAAGAACAUAGUGACUCCAUUGUUCCCCUUCGCAUCUAAAAGGAACAAAAUAUUGACAGAAUAUCUGAAAAAGGAAACUUUGUUGUUAGAUCUGCUAUAAAAAAAUAAAAAAAAGAGAUGGAUACAAAUAGAAGCUUUUCCCCUAGAGGGAGCUUGUGAAACUGUUAUUAAAUCUGAACUGGGGAGCUUUGCAGCUGCAAUAGAUUAAGAUCGUGGGAUCAGGCUUUGACCUUGCACAAGAAUGUACUCGGAGGCUCUGGUGCGUGCUUUCUGCAAGACAAGUGCUUUAUUGGAACAGUUACAUGAGAAGAAGGAUUUGAUGACUGCUGCGAUUGGAAAUUUUGGACAGGUAGUGGGUAUCUAUAUAGAACCCACUCAGGAAUUAAUCCAGGAGAGUGCUCUGACAGAUCAGAUGAAGGAGGCGGUUGUGGCUGGACCUCGGGAGGCAGAGAUGGAGGGAACUGUGGCCCAGCAGGAACAUGAGUUGUUGGAUCUGACGAAUGAACCUGGAAAAAGCCAGAUUUGGAGAGAUAGAGUUUUGCUUGGCUUGGAGAUGGGGGGCUGGAUAGACCCCCCUAUGCAGGGAUGUUUUGACUUUUCAAGUCUGGCUUUGGGCCGGGAGGAGUUUGGAGUUGUGGGGGUCCUCAACUUUGGAGGGACUUUGAAACAUGCUAUUAAAUACCACAUGGAGUUCAGUGUUGAUUAUGGAAAAGGGGCUGAUCUGUCGAGAAGGGACAAAAAUAUUGUCAAGCUGGAGUCUCCACGAGUGAAAGGAGCAGAAGACAAAGUAAAGUACAGGUAUAAAUAUGAAGAAGAUCUGCGGAAGGGACAUGGAAGAGACUUAAGGGCCUCGGACAUAAGGUUACCAGGUUAAUGAACUAGAUGGAUGGGAUAGAAAGGACUGACAAAACCCGAGACCAGGAGGAAGAGACGUUGGAUGAAGAUUGGAAGAAAGUUUUAAAAAUUUUACUUAGGAAUGUUUUCUAAAAUUAAUGAGUAUUAGAAAAAUGUUGGAAUGAAAUUAUUUGGCUUUAACAAAAAUGUUAAAAAGAAUUAUGUAAGAAUAUGCUAUGGUUAUGAGAAAUUGGUAUAAAUAAGAUUUAAGUUUUAAGUUUUAGGGUUUUUUAUGGUAAGAUAAGGUUAAAAUAGAUUAAGGUAAUUUAAUGACAGAAUAUUAUGAAAAAUGGAAAGGAUUUGCUGUGAUAAUUAACAACUAGAAUACAAAAAAAGGAGGUGUGAGGAGGUCGAUGAAAUAAGGUAAUGACAGUUAAGGAUUCAGGAAUACUGGAC